CCUACGGGUGGCAGCAGUGAGGAAUAUUGGUCAAUGGGCGGGAGCCUGAACCAGCCAAGCCGCGUGAGGGAAGAAGGUCCAGCGUAUCGUAAACCUCUUUUGUCAGGGAACAAAGGCGGGGACUAGUCCCCGGAUGAGGGUACCUGAAGAAAAAGCAUCGGCUAACACCGUGCCAGCAGCCGCGGUAAUCCGGAGGAUGCGGGCGUUAUCCGGAUUUCGUGGGUUAAAGGGGUGCGCAGGCGGCCUGUUAAGUCAGCGGGAAAAGCCCGGGGCUCAACCCCGGCGAGCCGUUGAAACUGGCGGGCUGGAGUUGGAGAGAAGUACGCGGAAUGCGCGGUGUAGCGGUGAAAUGCUUAGAUAUCGCGCAGAACCCCGGUUGCGAAGGCAGCGUACCGGCUCCACACUGACGCUGAGGCACGAAAGCGUGGGUAUCGAACAGGAUUAGAUACCCGGGUAGUC
RNAcentral lists this ribosomal RNA (459 nucleotides) under uncultured bacterium. RNAcentral describes it as "partial 16S ribosomal RNA". It matches the Rfam family "Bacterial small subunit ribosomal RNA", at positions 338 to 795 of the family's 1533-position model. The record is from RNAcentral.